UGGCCGGGACUUGGCGACGGAGGUUCGAGGGAGGCUCGGUCGUGGUUUUGCGUCUGCUGAACAGUACCCCUUACCGCUGUGUUGGACCCCACAUUCUCCCAGAAGACCCUGCGGACCUUUCCGUCAAGGGCCCAGAGUAAUGGUGCAGGGAAAAUGGAGAGCAAAACCAAACGUGACUCACCUUGCACAGAGGGAGGCCAAGUGAACCCACAUGCCUUCCUUCCCCUCCCGUGCCACCUGGUGAAGGUGGAUGUUCUUACAUGAUGACUGCCUCUUCCAGGGCCUGAGGUUCAGAGGUGCCCUCAAGCCUAAAGAUAUCCUCCUACCCACGAGUCAGCAAAGAAGAGGUCCCUAGUGCAAUUUCCAUUCUUCUGUGCAUCUCUACCCUGGAGGGAGGGCCUGGGC
Long non-coding RNA from Artibeus jamaicensis (Jamaican fruit-eating bat), 405 nucleotides. RefSeq lists it as uncharacterized. Lineage: Eukaryota; Metazoa; Chordata; Mammalia; Chiroptera; Phyllostomidae. The transcript is spliced from 3 exons. The record is from RefSeq and is a predicted model, not a curated record.